GCUGCAGUGGCCAAGACCUACAACUGUCUGUCCAACUCCUUUCUCCCUUCAACAGCCGAGUCAAGGGCAGAGCUGCUGAAAUUAACAUCAGGAGAAGCAGUGUCUUUGGAGUUUCUGCAACCCUUGAAAAUACCAUCACAGUCACACAAGGCCACUCCAGAACCAAGCAAUGGUCCUAUGC
Long non-coding RNA from Alosa alosa (allis shad), 181 nucleotides. RefSeq lists it as uncharacterized. The transcript is spliced from 3 exons. The record is from RefSeq and is a predicted model, not a curated record. Lineage: Eukaryota; Metazoa; Chordata; Actinopteri; Clupeiformes; Clupeidae.